GAUGAAGAACGCAGCGAAAUGCGAUAAGUAAUGCGAAUUGCAGAAUUCCAGUGAGUCAUCGAAUCUUUGAACGCACAUUGCGCCCUUUGGUAUUCCGAAGGGCAUGCCUGUUCGAGCGUCAUUAUCACCCCUCAAGCCCUCGGCUUGGUGUUGGACGGUUUGGUGGAGGCCCCCUCGGGGGCUCCUGCCCCUCCCAAAGACAAUGACGGCGGCCUCGUUGGACCCCCGGUACACUGAGUUCUUCACGGGACACGUAUCGGACACAUGGGUUUACGGGACACGGUCUGCCUCCCCUCAGGGAGAAUCUUUCUAAGGUUGACCUCGGAUCAGGUAGGGAUACCCGCUGAACUUAAGCAUAUCAAUAGCGGAGGA
RNAcentral lists this unclassified non-coding RNA (372 nucleotides) under soil metagenome. RNAcentral's name for it is "partial contains 5.8S ribosomal RNA, internal transcribed spacer 2, and large subunit ribosomal RNA". The stretch from base 1 to 121 matches the Rfam family "5.8S ribosomal RNA", at positions 35 to 154 of the family's 154-position model. The record is from RNAcentral.